UGGGGAAUAUUGCACAAUGGGCGCAAGCCUGAUGCAGCAACGCCGCGUGCGGGAUGACGGCCUUCGGGUUGUAAACCGCUUUCAGCAGGGACGAAGGAUUUUUUUGACGGUACCUGCAGAAGAAGCACCGGCUAACUACGUGCCAGCAGCCGCGGUGAUACGUAGGGUGCGAGCGUUGUCCGGAAUUAUUGGGCGUAAAGAGCUUGUAGGCGGUUUGUUGCGUCGGAAGUGAAAUCGCAGGGCUUAACUCUGAGCUUGCUUUCGAUACGGGCAGACUAGAGGAAGGUAGGGGAGAAUGGAAUUCCUGGUGGAGCGGUGGAAUGCGCAGAUAUCAGGAGGAACACCGGUGGCGAAGGCGGUUCUCUGGACCUUUCCUGACGCUGAGAAGCGAAAGCGUGGGGAGCAAACA
Molecule: ribosomal RNA, 409 nt
Filed under: uncultured prokaryote
Description: bacterial SSU rRNA
Rfam family: Bacterial small subunit ribosomal RNA
Source: RNAcentral